Molecule: non-coding RNA, 30 nt
Filed under: Homo sapiens (human)
Lineage: Eukaryota; Metazoa; Chordata; Mammalia; Primates; Hominidae
Source: RNAcentral
AGCCAUCUAUACCCUGGGCUGCUUAUGGGA